This 497-nucleotide ribosomal RNA is filed under the name uncultured bacterium. RNAcentral's name for it is "partial 16S ribosomal RNA". It matches the Rfam family "Bacterial small subunit ribosomal RNA", at positions 28 to 507 of the family's 1533-position model. The record is from RNAcentral.
GACGAACGCUGGCGGCGUGCCUAACACAUGCAAGUCGAGCGAACAGACCAGGAGCUUGCUCCUCUGACGUUAGCGGAGGACGGGAGAGUAACAUGUGGAUAAACUAACUAUAAGACUGGGAUACUUACGGGAAAUCGGCGCUAAUACCGGAUAAUUUAUUGCAUCGUAUGGUUCCAUCGUGAAAGUCGGUUUUUCGGUCAGUUAUUGAUGCAUCCAAGCCGCAUUAGCUAGUUGGUCAGGUACCGGGUUACCAAGGCGACGAUGCGUAGCAGACCUGAGAGGCUGAUCGGCCACACUGGAACUGAGGCACGGUCCAGACUCCUACGAGAGGGAGCAGUAGGGAAUCUUCCGCAAUGGGCGAAAGCCUGACGGAGCAGCGCCGCGUGAGUGAUGAAGGUCUUCGGAUCGUGAAACUCUGUUAUUAGUGAGGAACAAAUAUGUAAUUAACUGUGCACGUCAUGACGGUACCUAGUCAGAAAGCCACGGCUAACUACGUG